UACAGAGGGUGCAAGCGUUAAUCGGAAUUACUGGGCGUAAAGCGCGCGUAGGUGGUUUGUUAAGUUGGAUGUGAAAGCCCCGGGCUCAACCUGGGAACUGCAUCCAAAACUGGCAAGCUAGAGUACAGUAGAGGGUGGUGGAGUUUCCUGUGUAGCGGUGAAAUGCGUAGAUAUAGGAAGGAACACCAGUGGCGAAGGCGACCACCUGGACUGAUACUGACACUGAGGUGCGAAAGCGUGGGGAGCAAACAGA
This 253-nucleotide ribosomal RNA is filed under the name uncultured bacterium. RNAcentral describes it as "partial 16S ribosomal RNA". It matches the Rfam family "Bacterial small subunit ribosomal RNA", at positions 524 to 776 of the family's 1533-position model. The record is from RNAcentral.